CCUAUGACAUGGCCGUAUGGGAGUGAUGACGAUGA
This 35-nucleotide small RNA is filed under the name Propionibacterium ruminifibrarum. Its description in RNAcentral is "Propionibacterium sp. JV5 CRISPR_Spacer". Lineage: Bacteria; Bacillati; Actinomycetota; Actinomycetes; Propionibacteriales; Propionibacteriaceae. The record is from RNAcentral.